AGUGAACGCUGGCGGCGUGCUAAUACAUGCAAGUCGAACGGAAUUUAAAAGAGCUUGCUCUUUUGAACUUAGCGGCGCACGGGUGAGUAAUAUAUAGCUAAUCUGCCCCUUGCUGGAGGACAACAGUUAGAAAUGACUGCUAAUACUCCAUACUCCUUUUUACCAUAAGAUAAAUCGGGAAAGAAUUUCGGCAAGGGAUGAGACUAUAUCGUAUCAGCUAGUCGGUGGGGUAACGGCCUACCGAGGCUAUGACGCGUAACUGGUCUGAGAGGAUGAUCAGUCACAUUGGAACUGAGACACGGUCCAAACUCCUACGGGAGGCAGCAGUAGGGAAUAUUGCGCAAUGGGGGAAACCCUGACGCAGCAACGCCGCGUGGAGGAUGACACUUUUCGGAGCGUAAACUCCUUUUGUUAGGGAAGAAUAAUGACGGUACCUAACGAAU
This 443-nucleotide ribosomal RNA is filed under the name Campylobacter gracilis. RNAcentral's name for it is "bacterial SSU rRNA". It matches the Rfam family "Bacterial small subunit ribosomal RNA", at positions 29 to 487 of the family's 1533-position model. The record is from RNAcentral. Lineage: Bacteria; Pseudomonadati; Campylobacterota; Epsilonproteobacteria; Campylobacterales; Campylobacteraceae.